GACGAACGCUGGCGGCGUGCUUAACACAUGCAAGUCGAACGGAAAGGCCCUGCUUUUGUGGGGUGCUCGAGUGGCGAACGGGUGAGUAACACGUGAGUAACCUGCCCUUGACUUUGGGAUAACUUCAGGAAACUGGGGCUAAUACCGGAUAGGAGCUCCUGCUGCAUGGUGGGGGUUGGAAAGUUUCGGCGGUUGGGGAUGGACUCGCGGCUUAUCAGCUUGUUGGUGGGGUAGUGGCUUACCAAGGCUUUGACGGGUAGCCGGCCUGAGAGGGUGACCGGCCACAUUGGGACUGAGAUACGGCCCAGACUCCUACGGGAGGCAGCAGUGGGGAAUAUUGCACAAUGGGCGGAAGCCUGAUGCAGCAACGCCGCGUGCGGGAUGACGGCCUUCGGGUUGUAAACCGCUUUCGCCUGUGACGAAGCGUGAGUGACGGUAAUGGGUAAAGAAGCACCGGCUAACUACGUGCCAGCAGCCGCGGUGAUACGUAGGGUGCGAGCGUUGUCCGGAUUUAUUGGGCGUAAAGGGCUCGUAGGUGGUUGAUCGCGUCGGAAGUGUAAUCUUGGGGCUUAACCCUGAGCGUGCUUUCGAUACGGGUUGACUUGAGGAAGGUAGGGGAGAAUGGAAUUUCCUGGUGGAGCGGUGGAAUGCGCAGAUAUCAGGAGGAACACCAGUGGCGAAGGCGGUUCUCUGGGCCUUUCCUGACGCUGAGGAGCGAAAGCGUGGGGAGCGAACAGGCUUAGAUACCCUGGUAGUCCACGCUGUAAACGGUGGGUACUAGGUGUGGGGUCCAUUCCACGGGUUCCGUGCCGUAGCUAACGCUUUAAGUACCCCGCCUGGGGAGUACGGCCGCAAGGCUAAAACUCACAGGAAUUGACGGGGCCCCGCACAAGCGGCGGAGCAUGCGGAUUAAUUCGAUGCAACGCGUAGAACCUUACCUGGGUUUGACAUGGAUCGGGAGUGCUCAGAGAUGGGUGUGCCUCUUUUGGGGUCGGUUCACAGGUGGUGCAUGCCUGUCGUCAGCUCGUGUCGUGAGAUGUUGGGUUAAGUCCCGCAACGAGCGCAACCCUUGUUCACUGUUGCCAGCACGUUAUGGUGGGGACUCAGUGGAGACCGCCGGGGUCAACUCGGAGGAAGGUGGGGAUGACGUCAAGUCCUCAUGCCCCUUAUGUCCAGGGCUUCACGCAUGCUACAAUGGCUGGUACAGAGAGUGGCGAGCCUGUGAGGGUGAGCGAAUCUCGGAAAGCCGGUCUCAGUUCGGAUUGGGGUCUGCAACUCGACCUCAUGAAGUCGGAGUCGCUAGUAAUCGCAGAUCAGCAACGCUGCGGUGAAUACGUUCCCGGG
This 1344-nucleotide ribosomal RNA is filed under the name uncultured bacterium. RNAcentral describes it as "16S ribosomal RNA". It matches the Rfam family "Bacterial small subunit ribosomal RNA", at positions 28 to 1378 of the family's 1533-position model. The record is from RNAcentral.